Molecule: long non-coding RNA, 1714 nt
Filed under: Sus scrofa (pig)
Lineage: Eukaryota; Metazoa; Chordata; Mammalia; Artiodactyla; Suidae
Description: lncRNA (ENSSSCG00055024224.1)
Source: RNAcentral
ACGAAGGAGGGGAAAAGAGACCUCAGGCUCAGGGCCCAUCUAGAAGCCAGCUGAGUCAUUGCUCCUCCUGUUGGGUCAGAAACCACCUUCCACAAAAGGCUGGGAGAUGGCUGCCCUGGGCGUGGGCACGAGGCUUUGCAGGAGACACAUCUGCCCUGAGAGUCCCCAAGCCUGCUUGGCAGCCUCCUCUGGGUGCAAGACUCCCACACUGGUUUCCGGAGGCUGCAAGCUAGACGGCAGUCUUCCCCAAACACAUUGAAGGUAAAGAAAUGAUAAAGCCUCUCCCAUGAGCUGGGCACUCGGGACACAUCAGAGAAGACAAGGCCCCGCCCCCCUGGCUUACAAACCACCCAGGCAAUAAGAGAACAUGUGAUGGACACGGUCAAGGGACACAAGGGGGGUGACCACGAGCUGGUCAGGCAGCUUUUAGUCGGAGUCAACUUGUGGUUUGUGAAGACACGGGUGGACAUGGCCGUGGGGAAAGACCAGGAGGGAGGCACCGGGAAAGCUUAUUCCUGCUUCGGGGAACACUAUGAAGCUUGCAACUGCUGGCCGAGGGAGCUUCGGGGCCUGAGAAAGCUUGGAAAGAAGGCUAGUGCUGCCAUUGACAGUGACUGCCAGCAGGUAUGUCCCAUUAUCUCCCAGGGCCUCAGCUGUCUCCUCAGUGAACUGGGCAUAGUGAUGCCCACUUUGCAGAGAGGCAGUGAGGACUGAAGACCAUCACGUGAGUGCAGUGCCUCGCACACAGCGUCCUCCUCUCUCCUCCACCGCCCUUUCCCUCACUGUUUCAUGUUUCCAUCUAGGAAAACAGGUGAAUAAGAUCCUGUCCCUUAAAAAACUUAGGCGACAGGGAAUUCCCGUCAUGGCUCAGGAGUUACAAACCUGACUAGGACCCAUGAGGAUGUGGGUUCGAUCCCUAGCCUCGCUCAGUGGGUUAAGGAUCUGGCGUUGCCGUGAGCUGUGGUGUAUGUCACAGAAGUAGCUCGGAUCCUGUGUGGCUGUGCCUGUGGGUGGCAGCUGCAGCUCCGAUUUGACCCCUAGCCUGAGAACUUCCAUAUGCUGCAGGUGCAGCCCUUAAAAAAAAAAGACCAAAAAAAAGAAAGAAAGAAAGAAAGAAACUUAGGUGACACAAUAGGGCCAAAGAAACACGUGGCUGGGGAGUUCAAGAUGUGGCUUUACCUCUCUGUCUCUUAAUGGAGGUAAUUACACCUACCUUUUCUCUCGAGUUUGUAGGAAGAUGAAAUAAGACAACUCCGGUAAAGCUCUUGGUCCCACACCUGGCACAUUAUAGGUGCCACUAAAUAGUUGCAUGGUCCCGCAUGGUCAAGUUUACUCACAAAAUGAAUGUGGCAAAGGCCACAGAGCGGGCAGAGAAUGUGCUGUGGGAGUUCAGGGGAAGAGGAUUUCCAACUGGAUAUCCAGGAAGGCUCCAAGGAGGAGGCAGCAUUUCAGCUAAUUUGGACACGAGGUGAUGAGAGGAGGAGGGAGAGAGAGAUUAUUCCGGGCACGUGUGUGGAAACCAGAAAAUGUGGCUGGCAGGGCAGGCUGGCGGGUGUGGACAGGAGCUUUAGGAGCCAAGGCAGGAAUGGCUGUGGCUGGAGUCUGACCUAGAAAGCCUUCAGCGAGGAACGGAGUUGGGAACGUUAACUCAACAGAGAGCUGCUAAAGUUCCCGAGGGGAGUGGGUGUGUGCGUGUGUGUGUGUGUGUGUGUGU